This 492-nucleotide ribosomal RNA is filed under the name uncultured bacterium. RNAcentral's name for it is "partial 16S ribosomal RNA". It matches the Rfam family "Bacterial small subunit ribosomal RNA", at positions 29 to 507 of the family's 1533-position model. The record is from RNAcentral.
AGUGAACGCUGGCGGUAGGCCUAACACAUGCAAGUCGAACGGCAGCACAGUAAGAGCUUGCUCUUACGGGUGGCGAGUGGCGGACGGGUGAGGAAUACAUCGGAAUCUACUUUUUCGUGGGGGAUAACGUAGGGAAACUUACGCUAAUACCGCAUACGACCUACGGGUGAAAGCAGGGGAUCUUCGGACCUUGCGCGAUUGAAUGAGCCGAUGUCGGAUUAGCUAGUUGGCGGGGUAAAGGCCCACCAAGGCGACGAUCCGUAGCUGGUCUGAGAGGAUGAUCAGCCACCCUGCACCUGAGACACGGUCCUGACUCCUACGGGAGGCAGCAGUCGGGAAUGUUGGACAAUGAGCGCAAACCUGACCCAGCCAUACCGCGUGGGUGAAGAAGGCCUUCGGGUUGUAAAGCCCUUUUGUUGGGAAAGAAAAGCAGCAGGUUAAUACCCCGCUGUUCUGACGGUACCCAAAGAAUAAGCACCGGCUAACUUCGUG